RNAcentral lists this ribosomal RNA (489 nucleotides) under uncultured bacterium. Its description in RNAcentral is "partial 16S ribosomal RNA". It matches the Rfam family "Bacterial small subunit ribosomal RNA", at positions 30 to 507 of the family's 1533-position model. The record is from RNAcentral.
AUUGAACGCUGGCGGCAGGCCUAACACAUGCAAGUCGAACGGUAACAGGAAGCAGCUUGCUGCUUUGCUGACGAGUGGCGGACGGGUGAGUAAUGUCUGGGAAACUGCCUGAUGGAGGGGGAUAACUACUGGAAACGGUAGCUAAUACCGCAUAACGUCGCAAGACCAAAGAGGGGGACCUUCGGGCCUCUUGCCAUCGGAUGUGCCCAGAUGGGAUUAGCUAGUAGGUGGGGUAACGGCUCACCUAGGCGACGAUCCCUAGCUGGUCUGAGAGGAUGACCGGCCACACUGGAACUGAGACACGGGCCAGACCCCUACGGGAGGCAGCAGUGGGGAAUAUUGCACAAGGGGCGAAAGCCUGAUCCAGCCAGGCCGGGUGUUUGAAGAAGGCCUUCGGGUUGUAAAGACCUUUAGGCGGGAGGAAGGGAGUAAAGUUAAUACCUUUGCUCAUUGACGUUACCCGCAGAAGAAGCACCGGCUAACUCCGUG